Oryza sativa Japonica Group (Japanese rice) is the source of this 212-nucleotide microRNA precursor. It matches the Rfam family "MIR812 microRNA precursor family". The record is from Rfam. Lineage: Eukaryota; Viridiplantae; Streptophyta; Magnoliopsida; Poales; Poaceae.
CAUGUGUAUAAUAAUGAGUUUUUUUUUGCCCAAUUUUGAUCAUCUGUCUUAUUUAAAAUUUUUUUAUAAUUAGUAAUUUUGUUAUUAUGAGAUGAUAAAAUAGGAAUAAUACUUUACUCGUAACUUAUGUUUUUAAUUUUUUUUUUCAAAAGUUUUUUUUAAAUAAGACGAACGAUUAAAAUUGGACGCAGAAAAUUAUACUUACACUUAAA